This 468-nucleotide ribosomal RNA is filed under the name uncultured bacterium. Its description in RNAcentral is "partial 16S ribosomal RNA". It matches the Rfam family "Bacterial small subunit ribosomal RNA", at positions 28 to 507 of the family's 1533-position model. The record is from RNAcentral.
GACGAACGCUGGCGGCGUGCUUAACACAUGCAAGUCGAACGGAAAGGCCCUGCUUUUGUGGGGUGCUCGAGUGGCGAACGGGUGAGUAACACGUGAGUAACCUGCCCUUGACUUUGGGAUAACUUCAGGAAACUGGGGCUAAUACCGGAUAGGAGCUCCUGCUGCAUGGUGGGGGUUGGAAAGUUUCGGCGGUUGGGGAUGGACUCGCGGCUUAUCAGCUUGUUGGUGGGGUAGUGGCUUACCAAGGCUUUGACGGGUAGCCGGCCUGAGAGGGUGACCGGCCACAUUGGGACUGACAGACGGCCCACACUCCUACAGGAGGCAGCAGUGGGGAAUAUUGCACAAUGGGCGGAAGCCUGAUGCAGCAACGCCGCGUGCGGGAUGACGGCCUUCGGGUUGUAAACCGCUUUCGCCUGUGACGAAGCGUGAGUGACGGUAAUGGGUAAAGAAGCACCGGCUAACUACGUG